GCCUGGCUGGCUCAGUCAGUAGAGCAUGCAGCUCUUGAUCUUGGGGUUGUGGGUUCAAGCCCCAUGCUGGGUA
Molecule: transfer RNA, 73 nt
Filed under: Felis catus (domestic cat)
Lineage: Eukaryota; Metazoa; Chordata; Mammalia; Carnivora; Felidae
Rfam family: tRNA
About the family: Transfer RNA (tRNA) molecules are approximately 80 nucleotides in length.
Source: Rfam by way of RNAcentral